This 459-nucleotide ribosomal RNA is filed under the name uncultured bacterium. Its description in RNAcentral is "partial 16S ribosomal RNA". It matches the Rfam family "Bacterial small subunit ribosomal RNA", at positions 339 to 795 of the family's 1533-position model. The record is from RNAcentral.
CUACGGGUGGCACCAGUGGGGAAUAUUGGUCAAUGGGCGAAAGCCUGAACCAGCAAUGCCGCGUGAGUGAUGAAGGCCUUCGGGUUGUAAAGCUCUGUCAGUGGGAACGAAUAAGUCGAUUAAUAACCGAUGAUGACGGUACCCACAAAGGAAGCACCGGCUAACUCUGUGCCAGCAGCCGCGGUAAUACAGAGGGUGCAAGCGUUGUUCGGAAUUACUGGGCGUAAAGCGCGUGUAGGCGGUCUGAUAAGUCGGUCGUGAAAUCCCUUGGCUUAACCAAGGAACUGCGAUCGAAACUGCCGGACUAGAGUAUCGGAGGGGGUGGCGGAAUUCCCGGUGUAGAGGUGAAAUUCGUAGAUAUCGGGAGGAACACCUGUGGCGAAGGCGGCCACCUGGAAGAUUACUGACGCUGAGACGCGAAAGCGUGGGGAGCAAACAGGAUUAGAUACCCGUGUAGUC